GUAAGGAAUAUUGGACAAUGGACGCAAGUCUGAUCCAGCCAUGCCGCGUGAAGGAUUAAGGUCCUCUGGAUUGUAAACUUCUUUUAUAAGGGACGAAAAAAGGCUUUUCUAAGUCGUCUGACGGUACCUUAUGACUAAGCACCGGCUAACUCCGUGCCAGCAGCCGCUGUAAUACGGAGGGUGCAAGCGUUAUCCGGAUUCACUGGGUUUAAAGGGUGCGUAGGCGGGCAGGUAAGUCAGUGGUGAAAUCCUAGAGCUUAACUCUAGAACUGCCAUUGAUACUAUCUGUCUUGAAUAUUGUGGAGGUAAGCGGAAUAUGUCAUGUAGCGGUGAAAUGCUGAGAUAUGACAUAGAACACCUAUUGCGAAGGCAGCUUACUACGCAUAUAUUCACGCUGAGGCGCGAAAGCGUGGGGAUCAAACAGGAUUAGAAACCCUUGUAGUCC
This 445-nucleotide ribosomal RNA is filed under the name uncultured bacterium. RNAcentral describes it as "bacterial SSU rRNA". It matches the Rfam family "Bacterial small subunit ribosomal RNA", at positions 354 to 796 of the family's 1533-position model. The record is from RNAcentral.